AAAAGACUUAGUCCUAACCUUACUGUUAACUCUUACUAAACAUAUACAUGCAAGUAUCCGCGCCCCAGUGUAAAUGCCCCUGAUUUCUUAUCAAGGUGAUGGGAGCAGGUAUCAGGCACACCCAUAGCUGUAGCCCAAGACACCUUGCCUAGCCACACCCCCACGGGUACUCAGCAGUAAUUAAUCUUAAGCAAUAAGUGAAAGCUUGACUUAGUUAUAGUAACAUCUAGGGUUGGUAAAUCUUGUGCCAGCCACCGCGGUCACACAAGAAACCCAAGUUAACUGUAACCCGGCGUAAAGAGUGGCAUAAACCUAUCACAUCAACUAAGAUCAAAAUGCAACUAAGCCGUCAUAAGCCCAAGAUGCACCUAAAUCCAACAUCAAGAUGAUCUUAGCAUCCAUGAUCAAUUAACUCCACGAAAGCUAAGACACAAACUGGGAUUAGAUACCCCACUAUGCUUAGCCCUAAAUCAUGAUACUUACCCUACUGAAGUAUCCGCCUGAGAACUACGAGCACAAACGCUUAAAACUCUAAGGACUUGGCGGUGUUCCAAACCCACCUAGAGGAGCCUGUUCUAUAAUCGAUAAUCCACGAUAGACCCGACCGUUCUUUGCUAAAGCAGCCUACAUACCGCCGUCGCCAGCUCACCUUAUCUGAAAGUAUAGCAGUGAGCACAAUAGCCCACAUCGCUAGUAAGACAGGUCAAGGUAUAGCCCAUAGAACGGAAGAAAUGGGCUACAUUUUCUAAAGUAGAACAAUACUACGGAAGAGGGUAUGAAACUACCCUCGGAAGGCGGAUUUAGCAGUAAAGUGGGAUAAUAAAUGCCCUCUUUAAGCUGGCCCUGGAGCACGUACAUACCGCCCGUCACCCUCUUCAUAAGCCACAUGUCCUCGAUAUCUAAUAUACCUAACAGGCCAAAGAUGAGGUAAGUCGUAACAAGGUAAGUGUACCGGAAGGUGUACUUAGCAUACC
This 974-nucleotide non-coding RNA is filed under the name Pelecanoides urinatrix. RNAcentral's name for it is "12S ribosomal RNA". It matches the Rfam family "Bacterial small subunit ribosomal RNA". Lineage: Eukaryota; Metazoa; Chordata; Aves; Procellariiformes; Procellariidae. The record is from RNAcentral.